Non-coding RNA from Macaca mulatta (Rhesus monkey), 4381 nucleotides. Lineage: Eukaryota; Metazoa; Chordata; Mammalia; Primates; Cercopithecidae. The record is from RefSeq and is a predicted model, not a curated record.
AGGCGGAGGUUUCAGGGAGCCGAGAUUGCGCCACUGCAUUCCAGCCUGGGUGACAGAGGGAGACUCCAUCUCAAAAUAAUAAUAAUAAUAAUUAAUAUGUUGCUUUAAUACAAGAAAUACAAUUGUGUAUCUUCAGCAUCAGAUAGAUUUCAUGGAGGGUUUGGUUGGGGAAUAUUGUUUGGGAGCUUUUGAACUGUUUCUUCAAUGGGCUACAUCAGUUUCUUUCACUGCAGUAUUUACUGUGGUCUAAGCCACCUUUGUUCUUGAUCUUCAGUGGCCCCCAGCUAGAAUCAUUUUUACUUUCUUGUCUCCCUAACCCCAUUAUGCAAUCUCUGCACAGCAACCAGACUGAUUUUUAAAAUUAAAUCUGACUGUAACUCUCCUAUUUUCUGCUGACUUAGAAUAAAAGCAGGUCCUACCUGUGGCUUCCCAGGUUCUAGGCAUGUCAACCUCCUUUCUCUUAUAGGAACAGAGAAAUCUCCUCCCAGAUAUAGGGUGUUAGAUGUGCUGUGUUUGGCUUUUUUCAUAAUAGAUGCCUUCCCAUCCUUCAGGCUGCAGUUUAAAUUAUCCCUGCUAAGAAAAUCCUUCCCUGACUGCCUACCUAGGUAACUGCCACUUUGUACCCAAAUUCAUUCACCAAACCUUGAAGAACAGAGACUAAGAGCAUAGACUAUGGCCUCAAACUGCUGGGGUUAAAACCCAAGCCACCACUUUCAAGUUGUCUUAUGUCAAGAGAUUCCUUAAUCUUUCUAUCCCUCAGUUUCCUAGUCUGAAAAGUGGGCAUCAUAAUAUCACCUUGUAAGGCUGGGGACUUGAAUAGAUUGAUAUAUGCCAUGCCCGUGGGACAGUCCUGGCUCGUAAAAAUUCCUGUUUUAGGGAUUGAUAUAGUACUCUGUUACUGACUUAUAAAAUACAAAGGAAUAUUAAAUACAUGUUAAUGCUUAUUUUUUAUUUCCACUUAUGCAGUAACAAUGAAUAUCAGGACACAGGGGCCGUAUCUGCCUUUAUUCCACUACUGUGUCUGUAUCUAUGCCUGACACAUAAAAGACACUCAGUAAGUGUUUUAUCGAAGAACUGUGAAUUGAGAUCAAACUUUCAUACACUGUUAAGGCCCAACAUUUUUUGGGGCAGUGGAAUGGCAGCUUCCAAUGGUUAGAAUUAGGUGCAGCUUGCACACUUUCCAGCAACCUCUAUAUAACAGUUGAAAGUGAGAGCAAUUCUGACACCAAAAUCUACCAUGCCUGCAGGCAUUUAUAUAUUUAUUCUGGCACUAUUUUUAAUCACUUACAUACAUAAUGAUAUUUGUCCAGUUCCUUAAAACAGUCUUCAAAAACAGUUCACAUUACCUAUAAUGGCUGAAUAAUUUAAACAUUUAACAUUUUAUUACAAACAUUUUGAUACUUUUUCUGAAUAUCUAUAAUUUAAAACAGCGUGGAUAGUGUGAUGUUGCCCAGGUGUUUAAGGCAAGGGUCAGCAGCUCUUUCUAUAAGGGGCAAAAAUGUAUCUUUAAGCGAGCACAAAAGAUUUCAUCCAGCUAUCUGUCAAAUCAGGUCACACCCAUUUAGGCACGGCUGAUUUUCAGCUGUUAUGCAGCAUGUCAGUUGCUAAGUACUGGUUGUUCAUACCUGUUGAUAUGUAACUACUGUCUGGGUUUCAGAGUGUGUCUGACCUCCCUUAGGAUCUGUAGGUGCUCAAUCUGAAAACCACCAAAGACGGGUAAAUGCUGGCUCUAAAUAUCAUGAAUUUGAACAAUGAGCGCUCAUGGCUUACAUCUACAUUAUGCUAACAAGCCAUUAAUUUCACCCAUGGAAACUCAUUCUAAUGCAAAUUGUUAAAAAUAUCUGCCGUUGAUCAGAUAUAAAAUUAGUCUAAACAGUCUAAGGUAGCCCUCCUCUGGAGAAAGGGACUUCUAACUGGGAAGGGAGUUGGCCAGUCCUGGAGCAAGAGAUUCUCAUUAGGGCAAUUGACUGAGUCUGCAGUGGGGCUUGAACUAGAGCCCAAGGCUGAUUCCAGCCUGCUGCCUGUUUCUCUAUGACCUAUGAGCUAAGAAUGAUUUUUCACGUAUUUUAAAUAGUUGGAAAAAAUUCAAAAGAAGAUUUCGUGACAUGUGAAAAUUAGAUGAAAUUCUAACAGUGCCUAUGAAUAAAGUUUUAUUGGAACACAGCACACUCAUGCCUUUAUACAUUGUGUGUCACUGCUUUGGCACUACCAUGGCAGUGCUGAAUAAUUGGAGAAGAGAUGAGGUUACUCACAAAUCCAAAUAUAUGUACUAUCUGGCCCGUUACAGAAAGAGUUUGCUGACAGUUAAAUAAUUGCAUGGCAAUAUCACUCUAUCCUUGCUAUUUUAAAUUAAAUGAUAGAUAUUCAUAAAAAGUAUAUAAAUAUUUAUAAUAAAAGUGGCAAAUGUUUAAAUAAUUAAUCCAUUACAGACAGUGUGAACUUUAGACAAUGAAGACUGUCUAAAGAACUGGACAAUAUUCAUUAAUAUAGUUAAGUGAUUAAAAAUAGUGUAAGACUUUAUAUAUAAUAUCACAAUUUUAAUAUGUAAUUUAUGUGUAUGUGAUAUUACAUCUGUUUAUAGUGUGAUAAAAAUGGGAUAGAUUAAGAGAUUAUGGGUUUUGUUUUUAUCUAUUGCCUAACAAUUCUAAAUAAGCCUGCCUAAGUAUUAAAAUGAUAAGACAACAUAAGACCAUCAAACUCAUGCAAAGCUAAGUAGAAGGAACUCUGCGUAGUGUUCUUCAUCAGUGAAAUCAAUGUGAAUGUGGCAUUGUUAUGGAAUAAAAAUAUUCCAUAUUUUUCUCAAGAAAUAGAAAAGCAUUAUUUUAAUACAUAAAUAGGAAAAUGUCUCUGAAGACCUUGUUGUUUACCUAUUCCAUUAUAACCAAGGAAAAGAGAAGUGGUAGGGCAUUCUGUUUAUACUUCUUAGUGAUUCUGUAGAGAAUAAUUCAACUCUUGAGCUUCGGUGGAAUGAGAAGUAAUAAACCAAUACACAAGCCACAUAGCUCUCAAAACAAAAGAGAUUUUCCCCUCAUUGCUUGCCAUUGAACAGUAGAUCAGAGAGAUUCUGAUAGGAUAUUAAUUUCCUCUCAGGCCAGUUGCUAGAUACUUGUCUUGAACAAUAAGCAAUGUGACAAGAUAUGACAAAAAUCAGCAUUUUUAAUAACAUACUCUACAAACCAAUUUCCUCCUUUGUGUGAUCCCUUUUCUUCCAGCCUGUGUCUUCCUGGUCUGACCUUUUUCUUGUUACAACCUACUCUAGACCCUGAUGGAAGCUAGUGGUUUUCUAUCUACUUUCUAUUUACUUAACCUCAUCUAGCAUAUUUCCAUUUCUUCUAACUAUUCUGUAACCCUAACAACAUUCAUUGAAAGGUUUGUAUGUAACAUUUUUAGAAAAUGACCUGCUAUGUGCAGUAUUCUUUUGCGUGACUACUGUACCAUAUACAUUUAAGAUGACAACACAUUGGGGUUCCAAGUCCUGUUGUGUAUUUAGUCUCCAUUGGAAUGAAAAUCCUCAAAGCAUAUGUUCAUUUUUUUCUUUUCAGCACAUACUGAUUGGGUGUGUACUGCUUGAAAAAAAUAUUUAUGAUGGUGUUGAGCAGAGAGAGAAGGAGAGAGGAGAGAGAUGCAGAAAUAGAAGGUGUAAUCCUUACAUGAGUACCAUGGAUUCCCUGUUGGAUAUACAAUCCAUCCUCAGUAUUUAAGCAUUUCAUGUUUGUGAGAUUGUGUAUUUGUUAAAAUGCAUUUAUAACACCCCAAUUAACAAACAAGAUAUUCACAGCCCUGUGCAAUGCAUGGACACACAUGUUCCUAACUGAGGCCUCAUAAGAUAAUACUCUGCUUUCUCCUUUCAGCUCUUCUUCUGCAAACAAAUGUGCUUUUCAUAGUCAGUUGGUGCCACAUUUUAGUUUGGUUUUGGUUUUUUCAUUUUCAUGGUGAUUUCAUUGUUUAAAAUAGCCCUCAAUGGUAAUGCUGAUUUGUUAUCUCAUGUUUAUAAGUGCAAGAAAGCUGCAGUAUGCCCUAUGGAGAAAAUAAAUGUGUUCAAUAAGCUUUGUUUCCGCAUGAGUUACAGAGCUAUUGGCCAUGAAUUAAAUGUUAAUGAAUCAACAAUAUAUAAAAAUUAAGAUAUCUUCAAAUAGAAACACCCAUAAAACAAGGUUAUACAUUAAUCAGUUGAUGAAAACAUUGUGACCAAAGGCUUGCAGGAAUGUAACUGUUUAUUUCUCCUAGGAAUGAAAGUUCAGUAUUCAUUAAUUCAGUGUUAUUGACUUUAUUGAAUAAAACUAUCACACAUAACAAGAAUCAGUUGUACUAUGUUUAGGCUGCUACUUAAGUUUAGGGGAAAUUAUUAAAAUAAUUAUUGAUGAUAAUACUAGUUCUCUCA